Molecule: ribosomal RNA, 489 nt
Filed under: uncultured Ruminococcus sp.
Lineage: Bacteria; Bacillati; Bacillota; Clostridia; Eubacteriales; Oscillospiraceae
Description: partial 16S ribosomal RNA
Source: RNAcentral
CACGUAGUUAGCCGGAGCUUAUUCAUUAAGUACCGUCAUUUUUUCGUCCUUAAUAAAAGAAGUUUACAAUCCGAAAACCUUCAUCCUUCACGCGGCGUUGCUGCGUCAGGGUUUCCCCCAUUGCGCAAUAUCCCCCACUGCUGCCUCCCGUAGGAGCCUGGGCCGUGUCUCAGUCCCAAUGUGGCCGUUCAACCUCUCAGUCCGGCUACCGAUCGCGGUCUUGGUGAGCCGUUACCUCACCAACUAACUAAUCGGACGCGAGUCCAUCUCCGAGCGAUAAAUCUUUGAUAGCGCUGCCAUGCGACUUCGCUAUGUUAUGCGGUAUUAGCAAUCUUUUCAGAUUGUUAUUCCCCUCUCGGAGGCAGGUUACUCACGCGUUACUCACCCGUCGCCACUAAACUUAACCAAUGUCCUUCCGAAGAAUUCCUUCAACUAAGUUCCGUUCGACUUGCAUGUGUUAGGCACGCCGCCAGCGUUCGUCCUGAGCCA